This 187-nucleotide microRNA precursor is filed under the name Oryza brachyantha (malo sina). RNAcentral's name for it is "MIR812 microRNA precursor family". It matches the Rfam family "MIR812 microRNA precursor family". Lineage: Eukaryota; Viridiplantae; Streptophyta; Magnoliopsida; Poales; Poaceae. The record is from Rfam by way of RNAcentral.
AACAAAUCAACUUUUUAGUUUUUAGAUACAAUGUUUGACUUUUCGUCUUAUUAAAAAAUUAUGAUUAUUAACUUUAUUUUUAUUAGAUGAUAAAACAUGAAUUGUACUUUAUGUGUGACUAAUUUUUUUAAAAUUUCUUAAAAAAUUUUCAAAUAAGACAGACGGUCAAACGCUUGACACAAAAACC